AGGACGAACGCUGGCGGCGUGCUUAACACAUGCAAGUCGAGCGGUAAGGCUCUUUCGGGAGUACACGAGCGGCGAACGGGUGAGUAACACGUGAGCAAUCUGCCCUUCACUUUGGGAUAACCUCCGGAAACGGUGGCUAAUACCGAAUAUGACCGCUUCACGCAUGUGAUGGUGGUGGAAAGUUCUGGCGGUGGAGGAUGAGCUCGCGGCCUAUCAGCUUGUUGGUGAGGUAAUGGCUCACCAAGGCUUCGACGGGUAGCCGGCCUGAGAGGGUGACCGGCCACACUGGGACUGAGACACGGCCCAGACUCCUACGGGAGGCAGCAGUGGGGAAUCUUGGACAAUGGGGGCAACCCUGAUCCAGCGACGCCGCGUGGGUGAUGAAGGCCUUCGGGUUGUAAAGCCCUUUUGUCGGGGACGAUGAUGACGGUACCCGGCGAAUAAGCACCGGCUAACUCCGCGCCAGCAGCCGC
RNAcentral lists this ribosomal RNA (473 nucleotides) under uncultured bacterium. RNAcentral describes it as "SSU rRNA". It matches the Rfam family "Bacterial small subunit ribosomal RNA", at positions 26 to 518 of the family's 1533-position model. The record is from RNAcentral.